GGGAUGAGAGUUACAAGGUUCGUUGCCACCACCUCCUUCCUCACCUCACACUAAUCCUGAAUGUCCUGACAGCCUCCGUACAUUUACAGCACCUCAAAAAGUAACUCCUCAUUGUGAUGUGGAGGUAGCAUUGUGGAAAGGAAAGGAUCCCAGGUCUCUCAAAAUAUUGUUCCUAAUAAGAAGGAUCUCUGAGUAUUCUGCCGUGGAAUUAAGAACACUCAGCCCUCUAUUUGUUUGCCUGGGCACUUUUUCAGUGUAUCACUUUUCAAAAUGGAACCUACAAAUUCCCUCUGUGAUACCUGUGUCCUGGCAAGGGUGGCAGAAGGUAGAUUUAUUGUAUAUUGCUGUAUUCAUCCAUUUCUCCUUGCAGUCACAACAACAGCAGCACCCACCACAUCCACUGCCAUCACCCAGAGCAGCCUGGUCACCACAAAGGACAUCUCCAGACACAGCCCGCAUGCAGGAACAAGCAAAGAGAACAUGCGAAAUUUCUACUGUAAAAUGGUCAUGUGGGUUAACCUGGCUUGUGCCUGCCUCCUGCUCCUCACUGCCAUAACCAUCACCAUCACGCACUGCCAAAGUAAGUUGCCAGUGAAAGUAAGUACCAGUGACGAUCCAUUAGCUGCAUUAAUUUCUCCAACAAGCAGCACAAAUGCUGAAGGACAGAUUGUUACACAACAUCUGCAUUUGCUGGUACAUUUCUGACUCAACUUUGUAAUUCAACGAAAGCAAUCUACACUAGUGACAGAGAAGCAAAAGGUGGAGGAGUAUCUUAAAGGGAGAUUCAUUCUGUAGGACUCCAAGUCAGCUUACAGCCAACACAGUGCCUGUAAAAAUUCUGCCUUAAAGCAGAACUCAGUAUUCUUCCUCACUGUUGUCACACCUCUCUUUCAAAUGUAAGAUGGCGAUUUAGGAGUAAAUUCAGAAAUCUUCAUUGAUAUUUUGGAUUCCUCCUUGCUAAGUUGGUCAGAUGCUCCCAUGCUAACAGAGGAAGCAUCAGCAGUGCUGAAAUAAACACAGCCACGCGUCACA
This 1032-nucleotide long non-coding RNA is filed under the name Phasianus colchicus (ring-necked pheasant). Its description in RNAcentral is "lncRNA (ENSPCLG00000016744.1)". The record is from RNAcentral. Lineage: Eukaryota; Metazoa; Chordata; Aves; Galliformes; Phasianidae.